This 228-nucleotide ribosomal RNA is filed under the name Triticum aestivum (bread wheat). RNAcentral describes it as "partial small subunit ribosomal RNA". The record is from RNAcentral. Lineage: Eukaryota; Viridiplantae; Streptophyta; Magnoliopsida; Poales; Poaceae.
AUGUCGAUAAAUCCGGUAUGGUUUUUCUCUUCAUUUUUAGCUCGUCACUGGCAUGUGGAUAAAUCUGGUAUGGUGGUCUGUUUGUGGGGGCAAGCACUCAUAUGCGGCAGCGCCGGCGUCUCCGCCACACCGGCGCCGGCUCCGGCGCUGGCAGAGGAUAAGCUAUGUGUCGGCGUAAGCACCAAGAGCGCAGAGUCGGCCUGCGUCGCCAACGCCGCACUGACGUGA